RNAcentral lists this ribosomal RNA (3240 nucleotides) under marine metagenome. Its description in RNAcentral is "eukaryotic LSU rRNA". It matches the Rfam family "Eukaryotic large subunit ribosomal RNA". The record is from RNAcentral.
CUUUGAGCUGAUGUGAAGUCAGAACACCCGCCGAAUUUAAGCAUAUUAAUAAGCGGAGGAAAAGAAACUAACCAGGAUUUCCUUAGUAGUGGCGAAUGAACAGGAACCUGACCAAUCUGAAAAUCCUUGCCUUUCAGGCACAGGAAUUGUGGUCUACAUAUUAGUUUCCCGGAAUUGUAGCUAGGUCUAAAUCAUUUUGAAAUAAUGUGUCACAGAGGGUUAUAACCCCGUGAGGCCUGGAGACAAGACUUACGGAGCUAUCUUGUGAGUCAUGUUGCUUGGGACUGCAGCAUAAAUGGGUGGUAGAGUCCAUCCAAGUCUAAAUAUUAUGGUGAGACCGAUAGCGAACAAGUACCGUGAGGGAAAGGUGAAAAGAACUUUGAAAAGAAUGUGAAAUAGUACGUGAAAUCGUUAGAGGAAAGCGAAUGGCUUCUCUUAAGGACCUGGCUUUGGUGCUGCCUAUAGUGAGUUCAAUUUCUUCGGAUCUUGCGACUCUCGCUGGCUCGACCUUUGUGAGGAUGGUUUAGAGUGUCUCAUUCUUUAUAGCUGGUCUGUCUGACGCUUUACUCACCGAGUGCUGUGUUUGGCUUUCUUGAUAUACUGGGUGUCUAUCUCCUACCUGAGGUCCUUUAACAGUUGUCAUCCGACCCGUCUUGAAACACGGACCAAGGAGUCUAACAUGCAUGCGAGUAUUUAGGUGUCAAACCUCAAUGCGUAGUGAAAACAAAAAUAUGAUAACUACUGUUUACAGUUCCUUAUCGGCUAGCUCCGGCGAUUGCUUGAGCAUGUAUGCUGGGACCCGAAAGAUGGUGAACUAUGCUUGUGCAGGAUGAAUCCAGGGGAAACCCUGGUGGAAGUCCGUAGCGAUACUGACGUGCAAAUCGUUCGUCUGACAUGAGUAUAGGGGCGAAAGACUAAUCGAACCAUCUAGUAGCUGGUUCCCUCCGAAGUUUCCCUCAGGAUAGCUGGAACUCGAAGGAGUCAUGUGAGGUAAAGCGAAUGAUUGGGGGAUUUGGGAGUGCAUCACUCUCUGCCCACUCUCAAACUUUAAAUGUGCAUGAAAGACUAAUUUCUUAACUGAAUUAGUCUAUUGGAUCUGGAGUUCUUAGUGGGCCAUUUUUGGUAAGCAGAACUGGCGAUGCGGGAUGCUCCGGAAGCUGGGUUAAGGUGCCUAAAUGUUCGCUCAUUCAGAUACCAUGAAAGGUGUUGGUUGAUUUAGACAGCAGGACGGUGGUCAUGGAAGUUGAAAUCCGCUAAGGAGUGUGUAACAACUCACCUGCCGAAUCAAGUAGCCCUGAAAAUGGAUGGCGCUCAAGCGAUCUACCGAUACUCAGCCAUUGGCUCUAUACAGAGGAGUCAAUGAGUAGGAGGGCGUGGAGGUAGCGUAGAAGACAUUUGCGUGAGCUUUGUUGAAGCUACCUCUAGUGCAGAUCUUGGUGUUAGUAGCAAAUAUUCAAAUGGAAACUUUGAAGGCCGAAGUGGAGAAAGGUUUCACGUGAAGUUUAAUGCGACGUGAGUGACUCAGUCCUAAUCCAAACCUUAACUGGGAAACGGAGGUAUCUUACCUCCCUAUGGAGAAAGGGGAAUUGGUUAAAAUUCCAAUAGUAACUCAAGGUGUUGAGCGGCGACGCAAUUAGAAACUGGUGACGCCAAAGGCAACCCCGGGAAGAGUUCUCUUUUCUUUUUGACAUCUCUCACAGCGUAUGGAAUGGGUUUGUCCCGAGAAAAACGUUGUGAAGUGGCAUAGCAGUUGACUUUCUCAACUGUCCGAUGCGUUGUCGAUGGCCCGUGAAAAGCCGGUGGAUCAUAUGCACCAAAGGUUAGCUGUACUCAUAACCGCAUCAGGUCUCCAAGGUGAAUAGCCUCUGGUCGAUGAGAUAAUGUAGGUAAGGGAAGUCGGCAAAUUAGGUCUGUAACUUCGGGAAAAAGACUGGCUGGUAGGGCUGGGUGUUUGAGGCUCUUUGUUGAAGCAUGGGUAUUUGAUUGACUUUGCUGGUCUGCUCUCGGGCGGACUGGCGAGGACUUUCGAGAACCUGCGUGAAUUCGAAGAGAUGACUUCGGUCUGUCUCGGCACAAUUAACAGCUAACUAUCAACUGGCGCGGACAAGGAGAAUCCGACUGUUUAAUUAAAACAAAGCAUUCUGAUGGUCGGAAACGAUGUUGACAGAAUGUGAUUUCUGCCCAGUGCUCUGAAUGUCAAAGUGAUGAAAUUCAACCAAGCGCGGGUAAACGGCGGGAGUAACUAUGACUCUCUUAAGGUAGCCAAAUGCCUCGUCAUCUAAUUAGUGACGCGCAUGAAUGGAUUAACGAGAUUCUCACUGUCCCUAUCUACUACUCAGUGAAACCACAGCCAAGGGAACGGGCUUGGGUGUAACGGCGGGGAAAGAAGACCCUGUUGAGCUUGACUCUAGUCUGACUUUGUGAAAUGACAUGAGAGGUGCAGAAUAAAUGGGAGAGCAAUCGUCCGUGAGAUACCAUUACUCUCAUCGUUGUUUUACUUAUUUGGUUAGCAAAGAACUGGUCUUAAUCGGCUUGAUUCUAGUACAAGUAGCUUCUGCUAUGACUUUGGUCAAUGACAUUGUCAGGUGGGGAGUUUGGCUGGGGCGGCACAUCUGUUAAACGAUAACACAGGUGUCCCAAGAUCAGCUCAGUAAGAACAGAAAUCUUACGUAGAGCAUAAGGGUAAAAGCUGAUUUGACCUUGAUGGUCAGUAACCAUCAGGGCUGUGAAAGCAUGGCCUAGCGAGCCUUUAUGUGUUCGGACUGUGAACCUAGAGGUGUCAGAAAAGUUACCACAGGGAUAACUGGCUUGUGGCAGCCAAGCGUUCAUAGCGACGUUGCUUUUUGAUUCUUCGAUGUCGGCUCUUCCUAUCCCUAAGUUGCAUAAGGCUUAAACGGUUAGAUUGUUCACCUACCAACAGGGAACGUGAGCUGGGUUUAGACCGUCGCGAGACAGGUUAGUUUUAUCCUACUGUUACGUUUUUGUUCUGCUAGUACCGCACCUCAGUACGAGAGGAACAAGUGUGGCACGUAACCGGUUAAUGCCGUUGUUCGAAAGAACAAUGCGGCGAAGCUGCCACGUGUGGGAUAACAGCUGAACGCCUCUAAGCUGGAAACCCUACUUUGACGAACAAUAUUAGGUCACAAGUCACUAUGUGUACAAAUAACCAGGUUACUGGUAUACCUUUUACUCUUUAAAUAGUGAUGCGCGAUCUGAAUCCUUUGUAGACGACUUAACACG